AGUAUGGUCGUUUAAUUUUGCUAUAUACAUACUAUCCAUAAGACCUUGUAAGAGGUACCCAGGCCCCCUGGGCCAUCACGAUGGGUAUCUCGUAAAACUCUGAAGUGUGUAUGUAUGGUGUGAGGGUUGUCAGACACUCGUUUGGAUAAGUGAACUUCUGAUUGUAAUUCUGGUCUUCCUUGUCGGUCUCCUUUUGUGUAGUAGUAGUAGUGGUGAAGUUGAUAUAUGAUUUGAGUCUCGCCUAUUGCCAGAACUGCAUACAUCCAAAAUUCCAAACCCCACCUGUGAUUUGGCCCAUUAUGUGAUAACACAAGUAUCCCUAUCCUUUUCUGUCCGUGCUGACCUAACUAUUCGCUGCUCUAUUUGGACCUAUGUGCGCCUUGGUUUGAGGCCCUGGCUGCAGAUGCUUUGGCAUCGCCGGCAGCCAAUUAAUUGGCUGUCACUUGGUUGGCUGCCAAUAUCCAUGUGCCAAGUAACCAGGGAUACCAAUUGGUUUGAGACCAAAUAGCUGCCUUGUCUUUGUCUGUGAUAAAAAAAUGGUCUUUGCUUAUCAGGGCCAUGGCACACACCAAACCGUGGACAUCAUCUUCAGCAUUAUAUAGUUAACAAAUGAUUAACAGCCCAUUCCAUCAAAGUAAUCUAUUAACAAAAAAGUUCAUUGCAGAUAAAUUAAGAGUCAGCUACAUAACUAAAAGUAACUCAAGAGAAUCCAUCAGUCCACAGUUGCAUGAACCGCAAGCUAGAUCAUAGCACCAUACACAGAAGCUUGAACAUAUUGUGGCAGUCUGCUGGAGCUUAGAUUAUGACCCCAAUAAAUUCCGAAUGUUCGGAAUUUGACGAUGGCAAAUUGAACACUUUCGAUGGCAAUUUUAGUGACACGAGUACGGCAAGAUUAGUUGGCAAGCAUGGCAACUCCUUGCUCAAUGUAUUUUCUGCCAGAAAUUACCGUGCGUGUCAACUAAACUUCCAUCCUCGCGUCACUAAAAUUACCAUCGAAAACGUUUGAUUUGCCAUGGUAAAAUCCCGAACGAUACGGGAUAUAUCAUUUCCAGAGAUUAUACUCCUAGAUUAAUAGUACAUCAACAAAACCUUGAAAGUUGAAACCCUGAAGCGCAUUAGAUUUCUUUUAGACGCGUCCUUCAGAGUAAAAAGUGUUCAAAGACCCGAGUGUUAAGUGUCCUCAGCAAGCCACAAAGAAAAGUAUAGUAUUUUGUUCCGGCUUAGCAAUGCAGCCAGCUAACUCAAGCAUCCUACUUGCUGCCAAUGUCAGAGACUCAACCCAGAUCCUAUUUGGCGCCUCAAGCACCAGAUAUAGGCAAUUUCGCUACCUGGCGCACACCCUCCCAACACUACGUGACAAAUAGGCCGGCCCAUCUUGAUUAUUUCCCACAGUUUUCUACUGGUUUCUCUGGUUUUUUUUCUUACAUUCUUUCCUGGCAUGGGUUUUACUCGGUUUUCGUUUUCGUUGAUUAUUUCCCAUGUUGAUUAUUUCUUUUUAAUUUCCUUUUCCUUUUAGUUUUCUUUCUUUUUCAAAUGUGUGAAAAAAUUUCAAAUUCAAAAAACUUUUCACGUUCAUGAACUUUUUCAAAAUUUUGUGAUCUUUUUGAAGUUUAUAUUUUUUCAAAUUUAUGAACUUGUAUUGUUUUUGCGAACUUUUUCCAUGUUACAAACAUUUUCAAAACUCGCUAACAUUUUCAAAUUCCUGAAUUUUUUCCAAAUUUCUCAACUUCUAAAUUCAUGAAAAAACCAUAUGCAUGAAAUUUAAGAUUGAACUUUUUUUCAAAUUCGAGAAUUUUUCCAAUCUUUAUGAUUAUUAUUUUUCAAAUUCCAUGAACCUUUUCAAGUUUCACAUUUUUCCCAAAUUCGUGUGCUUUCAAAUUCAUGAAACUUUUCUUAAAUUCAUGAACUUUUUCUCAAAGUCGUGAAAUUUUAAUCAUUUUUAUGAACUUUUACAAGUUUGCAUUCUUUUUCAAAAAGUUGAACUCUUUAGAUUUACAUUUUUAAAAUUUUAUGAACUUUAUUCAAAAGUCAACAGUCAGGUCAGCAAGUCAAUCAGUCAACCAGCCAACCAGCGAGAUUUUUGUUGAGGGGCGAGAUGUGAGCGAGUGUCUCGUUCGAUCGAGCAAAGAUUUAAUGGGCUAGCCCACUAGGCUUGCUUUCGAGCGCCAGUAGGUUUAACCGACGUUGAGAACCUCGUUUAGGAGCACUCGAGACUCAAUGCGCUUUAAGGAUUAUCAUUACGGUUUGUAUUCCGCGAUGAGCUUCCAUUGCUCCCCAAUUGUUAAAUGUUAGAUGGGCUUUAGGUCUAUAUAACAAAAAGUUCGUGGAUAAAUCUCGGAAGGCCAUGUGGGGUUCCAUGACAUGACACGAAGGAAAGUUCAGUACCACCUCGAAAGUGGAGGAGAGUUAAGAUCAACAUAUAAAGGAUUAUCUUCCAAAUAUGAGAAGAGCAAUGGCACAUGUGUGCUUCUCUCUCGCCCGUGUCGUGUUCCGUGAACUGCUUUCAUUAUUUUGUAUCAUACUGCAUUUUUUUUUCCAAGAUCAAACCUUGCACAAUUGACCAAGUAUAUCAAAUAAUGACAUAAAUAACAUCCAAUAAAUAUAUGUGAAAAUAUGUCUCGUGAUCUAUCUAAUUACAUUUAUUUCAUAUCGUAGAUAUUUUGGCUGUAAAUUUAGUCGAAGUUUACGAAAGUUGAUUUAAAGAAAAAUAGUACUCCCUCCGUAAAGAAUUAUAAGAGUGUUUAGAUCACUAAAGUAGUGAUCUAAAUCUUUUAUAUUUCUUUACACAGGGAGUAGACACUAUGGCUCCAGUAGGGGAGCAGCGACAGCGGUGCGUCGACCGCUCGUUCUGGCGGCAACAGUGGUCGUUCGGUGGUCUCAGAAUCAUGAUGUAAUUUUCUAUUAUGUUUGAGAUGCCUUGUACUUCCAGUGAACUUUUAUAAUAGAUCUGAUCAUUUUCACAAAAAAGAAAAGAAAUAGAUGAAGUAGCAUAUAGAUCAGAUUUGGGAGUGGGCAAAACAUGCCCAAGCUAGAAAUUUAAAUGCAUGGCACAUCUCAUAAAAUCAUAAUUUAUAUUUAAACUACCCUUUUAAGCAACACAACCAGGAAGAGCUAAACCGAAGCAUACCACUACAGGAAAAAUGAUAUAUGCCAAGUGUAUUUUGUCAGGCACUCCGCAAACAAGCCCUUUGUCGAGUGUAGCAGCGAUGACACUCUUCAAGAAAAUGACACUUGACAAAUAGGUGCUUUGCCAAGUAUUACACUCGGCAAACCAGGGUCUUUACUCAAGCUGGCAGUGGGGAUUACACAGGUGGGUAUUAGAAUCCCAUCCCCAUCCCCAUACUCGCCUACGGGGAUAAAGAGUUUGCCAUCCCCAUCCCCAUCCCCAUCGGGUUUUCAUCCCCAUGAGAAAACUCAUAUACGCAAUCAACAACAGUCUUCAAUAGCAUUUCAGUAGAAAAAAUAGCACUUCAAGAUAAUAAAUGAUAUGUUGUUGCUAGGUUAAGGAUUUUUUUAUGGCUUAUUGGGCCAAAGAGGUGGGAUGGGCGGGAAUUUGGAUAGGUAAGGGUAGUAAUUACCUACAAUCUACUAAUUGUAGAGCCCGAUAGCCCACAUAUAAGGCCUUCACGGGCAAGGAGGAUAACAGGCACGGGUAAUGCUAUCCCAUCCUCCUCCCCAUCCCCAUCCCCGUCUUGCACGCUGGGUAGGGUAUUUGACCCACCAACUUCCCCGUAGGCAUUAAAGUUGGCACAUUCCCCAUCCCCUAAUAGUGUAAUCACCCACGGGGACGCAGGUAACAAUUAGCCGUUGCCAUCUUGAGUCUUUACAGUAUUUUUUAUAGGACACUUGACAAAUAAUUGAAAAGCAAUAAAAUGCAUGUGUAUAUUUGGAUUUUGAAGAGCAGACCUCCAAGAAUGACAAAUUGAAUAUUAUUCGAUAAAUAUGAUAAAUAGGAAAUGCAAUUCAUGUCUUCAAAUCAGCUAAUGGUUCGAAAAUGUGUUUUUUUUCAUUAGUAACACAAUGUAAUGUGUUCCAUGUGGGAAAAUUAGCGAUGUCCUAUAUUAAAAGUUCUUACUUUGUUUAAGCAAUUAAGUGCAUUUUAGGCAUUUAACAGAUAUAGUUUCAUUUUAAACUACUCCCUCUGAGUGAUCUAAAAGGUCUUAUAUUACUUUACAGAGGAAGUAGAAGUGCAUGAAAAGUUGACCAAAACGGGUUAAGAAUCUUAUUUGUGUUCUCCAGUAUGUUUUUAGGCCUUAUACAAGAAAAGAAAAUGAGUUCCAAAUAUUCUAGUGUCAAGACUCGACCCCGACCAUGGAGCUUAUUAUUUUUUCAAUUUUCAAAAAUACAAACAAAGUCUGGAAAACAUGAAACCCCGUGUGGUCUCAUGAUAUGAUCCCUAUAUGUUGUGGUAAAAUUUUGAGAAGGUUCUCAAAAUUUGUGAUGUGCAUUGCUUGGAAACUAAAGCAUCUCUAAGUAAGAACCAUGGUUUCGAGAGAAAAUACGUCGGACUUAAAGGCGAAGUGUCAGUUGCUUCAUUUUUUGGUCUUGAAAGUUCUUCUACAGUCAACAUAAAUCAUCAGAUGCUGCAUGUAAAAUUUUGGGAUUUUUAGGGGCUUGUUUACUAUACUUAAGUCAUUAAGUGCAUUAAAAAGUGGAGAAAAUUGGGUUGAGAAAUCUUAUCUAUGUUCUUGAGUCUAUGUUUAUGCACUACAAAAAAAAGACACAUCCGUGACAUUUUGGGGCGAACGAAAAAAAAA
RNAcentral lists this long non-coding RNA (4757 nucleotides) under Triticum aestivum (bread wheat). RNAcentral describes it as "long non-coding RNA (TAES_LNC017754)". The record is from RNAcentral. Lineage: Eukaryota; Viridiplantae; Streptophyta; Magnoliopsida; Poales; Poaceae.